This 2917-nucleotide ribosomal RNA is filed under the name methanotrophic endosymbiont of Bathymodiolus azoricus (Menez Gwen). It matches the Rfam family "Bacterial large subunit ribosomal RNA". The record is from RNAcentral.
GGUCAAGUGAAUAAGCGCAUAGGGUGAAUGCCUAGGCGAUAAGAGGCGAUGAAGGACGUUGUAGGAUGCGAUAAGUCGCGGGGAGUUUUCAAACAAACUUUGAUCCGCGAAUUUCCGAAUGGGGAAACCCAAUCUGCAUAAGCAGAUUAUCUUGCUCUGAAUACAUAGGAGUAAGAGGCGAACCGGGGGAACUGAAACAUCUAAGUACCCCGAGGAAAAGAAAUCAAACGAGAUUCCCUAAGUAGCGGCGAGCGAACGGGGAACAGCCGAGUCUUUUGCGAUAGUGGAACAGUCUGGAAAGUCUGACGAUACAGGGUGAUAGUCCCGUACACGAAAUCAAAAAGGAACGUAUUAAGUAGGGCGAUGCACGUGAAACGUUGUCUGAAGAUAGGGGGACCAUCCUCUAAGGCUAAAUACUACUUAUCGACCGAUAGUGAACUAGUACCGUGAGGGAAAGGCGAAAAGAACCCCGGAGAGGGGAGUGAAAUAGAUCCUGAAACCCUAUGCGUACAAGCAGUAGGAGCGGACUUGUUCCGUGACUGCGUACCUUUUGUAUAAUGGGUCAGCGACUUAAUCUUAGUGGCAAGCUUAACCGAGAAGGGGAGGCGUAGCGAAAGCGAGUCUUAAUAGGGCGUUUAGUCGCUAGGAUUAGACCCGAAACCGGGCGAUCUAUCCAUGGCCAGGUUGAAGGUGGGGUAAUACCUACUGGAGGACCGAACCCACGUAUGUUGAAAAAUGCGGGGAUGAGCUGUGGAUCGGAGUGAAAGGCUAAUCAAGCCCGGAGAUAGCUGGUUCUCCUCGAAAUCUAUUUAGGUAGAGCCUCGUGUAUAACUGUUGGGGGUAGAGCACUGUUACGGCUAGGGGGUCAUCCCGACUUACCAAACCGUUGCAAACUCCGAAUACCAACAAGUUUUAGCACGGGAGACACACGGCGGGUGCUAAGGUCCGUCGUGAAAAGGGAAACAGCCCAGACCGUCAGCUAAGGUCCCAAAAUCACUACUCAGUGGGAAACGAUGUGAAAAGGCCCAGACAGCCAGGAGGUUGGCUUAGAAGCAGCCAUCCUUUAAAGAAAGCGUAAUAGCUCACUGGUCGAGUCGGUUUGCGCGGAAGAUUUACCGGGGCUAAGUAGUGUACCGAAGCUACGGAUCGACGUUAAUUUAUUAACGGAGGUGGUAGAGGAGCGUUCCGUAAGCCUGCGAAGGUCAAUUGAGAAGUUGGCUGGAGGUAUCGGAAGUGCGAAUGCUGACAUGAGUAACGAUAAAGGGGGUGAAAAACCCCCUCGCCGAAAACCCAAGGUUUCCUGCGCAACGUUAAUCGACGCAGGGUUAGUCGGAACCUAAGGCGAGGCCGAAAGGCGUAGUCGAUGGAAAACAGGUUAAUAUUCCUGUACUUGUUAUAACUGCGAUGGGGUGACGGAGCAGGCUAGAUCAGCUUACGGUUGGAAAUGUAAGUUUAAGCGUGUAGGGAGAGAGUUUAGGUAAAUCCGGACUCUUGUUAAUUCUGAGACGUGAUGACGAGUUUCUCCUCGUGAGAGACGAAGUGAUUGAUGCCAUACUUCCAAGAAAAACCUCUAAGCUUCAGGUUAUAACGACCCGUACCCCAAACCGACACAGGUGGGUGGGAUGAGAAUUCUAAGGCGCUUGAGAGAACUCGGCUGAAGGAACUAGGCAAAAUUGUACCGUAACUUCGGGAGAAGGUACGCCUUUUGUAGGUGAAGCGACUUGCUCGUGGAGCUGAAGAAGGCAGCAUUAAAUUGGUGGCUGCGACUGUUUAUCAAAAACACAGCACUCUGCAAACUCGCAAGAGGAAGUAUAGGGUGUGACGCCUGCCCGGUGCCGGAAGGUUAAUUGAUGGGGUUAUCUUCGGAAAAGCUCUUGAUCGAAGCCCCGGUAAACGGCGGCCGUAACUAUAACGGUCCUAAGGUAGCGAAAUUCCUUGUCGGGUAAGUUCCGACCUGCACGAAUGGCGUAACGAUGGCCACACUGUCUCCAGCCGAGACUCAGUGAAAUUGAAAUUGCGGUGAAGAUGCCGUAUACCCGCGGCUAGACGGAAAGACCCCGUGAACCUUUACUAUAGCUUUACACUGGACUUUGAACCUAUUUGUGUAGGAUAGGUGGGAGACUUUGAAACCAUGUCGCUAGAUGUGGUGGAGUCAACCUUGAAAUACCACCCUGGUAUGUUUGAAGUUCUAACCUAGACCCCUUAUCGGGGUUGGGGACAGUGUAUGGUGGGUAGUUUGACUGGGGCGGUCUCCUCCCAAAGAGUAACGGAGGAGCACGAAGGUGUGCUCAGCAUGGUCGGAAAUCAUGCAAUGAGUGUAAUGGCAAAAGCACGCUUGACUGCGAGAUAGACACAUCGAGCAGGUACGAAAGUAGGUCAUAGUGAUCCGGUGGUUCUGAAUGGAAGGGCCAUCGCUCAACGGAUAAAAGGUACUCCGGGGAUAACAGGCUGAUACCGCCCAAGAGUUCAUAUCGACGGCGGUGUUUGGCACCUCGAUGUCGGCUCAUCACAUCCUGGGGCUGAAGCAGGUCCCAAGGGUAUGGCUGUUCGCCAUUUAAAGUGGUACGCGAGCUGGGUUCAGAACGUCGUGAGACAGUUCGGUCCCUAUCUGCCGUGGGCGUUUGAGAUUUGAGGGAAGCUGCUCCUAGUACGAGAGGACCGGAGUGGACGAACCCCUGGUGUUCGGGUUGUCAUGCCAAUGGCAUUGCCCGGUAGCUACGUUCGGACAGGAUAACCGCUGAAAGCAUCUAAGCGGGAAGCCCCUCCCAAGAUGAGAUCUCACUGGAACUUAAAGUUCCCUGAAGGGCUGUUGAAGACUACAACGUUGAUAGGCAAGAUGUGGAAGCGCAGUAAUGUGUGAAGCUAACUUGUACUAAUUGCCCGUGAGGCUUGACCAUAUAACACCAAAUGCGUUUCA